RNAcentral lists this ribosomal RNA (466 nucleotides) under uncultured bacterium. Its description in RNAcentral is "partial 16S ribosomal RNA". It matches the Rfam family "Bacterial small subunit ribosomal RNA", at positions 29 to 506 of the family's 1533-position model. The record is from RNAcentral.
ACGAACGCUGGCGGCGUGCUUAACACAUGCCAGUCGAACGGAAAGGCCCUGCUUUUGUGGGGUGCUCGAGUGGCGAACGGGUGAGUAACACGUGAGUAACCUGCCCUUGACUUUGGGAUAACUUCAGGAAACUGGGGCUAAUACCGGAUAGGAGCUCCUGCUGCAUGGUGGGGGUUGGAAAGUUUCGGCGGUUGGGGAUGGACUCGCGGCUUAUCAGCUUGUUGGUGGGGUAGUGGCUUACCAAGGCUUUGACGGGUAGCCGGCCUGAGAGGGUGACCGGCCAAAUUGGGACGGGGAUACGGCCCAGACCCCUACGGGGGGCAGGAGGGGGGAAUUUUGCACAAGGGGGGGAAGCCUGAGGCAGCAACGCCGGGGGGGGGGUGACGGCCUUCGGGUUGUAAACCGCUUUCGCCUGUGACGAAGCGUGGGUGACGGUAAUGGGGAAAGAAGCACCGGCUAACUACGU